UCAAGCUAGAAAGAGCGCAAGGGGAAUGCCUUGGCAUCAGGAGCCGACGAAGGACGUGACAAGCUGCGAUAAGCCACGGGGAGGAGCAAAUAUCCGCUAUAUCCGUGGAUUUCCGAAUGGGGGAACCCGCUCAAGCAAUACUUGAGCAUCGUGCGUUGAAUCAAAUAGGCGUACGAAGGGAACGGCCUGAACUGAAACAUCUAAGUAGGGCCAGGAAAAGACAUCAACCGAGAUUCCGCUAGUAGUGGCGAGCGAACGCGGAGGAGGCCAAACCGAGGGACGCAAGUUCUUCGGGGUUGCGGACAGACAUCAAGACCAGAGGUAAUUAAGAGAACGGCGUGGGAAAGCCGGCCACAGAAGGUGAGAGCCCUGUAUCUGAAAAUGAAGACUGGCAGUCUGGAUCCAGAGUACCGCGGGACACGUGAAACCCCGUGGGAAACCGGGUGGACCACCAUCCAAGCCUAAAUACUACCUGAUGACCGAUAGAGGAGCAGUACCGUGAGGGAAAGGUGAAAAGGACCCCGGGAGGGGAGUGAAAGAGAACCUGAAACCUUGUGCCUACAAGCACAUAGAGCCCGUCAAAGGGUGAUAUGGUACUUUUUGUAGAACGGUCCGGCGAGCGAUUGUACGUUGCGAGCUUAAGGUCUUAAGGACUGGAGGCGUAGCGAGAGCGAGUCUAAACAGGGCGUUUAGUAGCGUGCAAUGGGCCCGAAACCGGGUGACCUACCCAUGAUCAGGCUGAAGUGAAAGUAAAAUUUCAUGGAGGGCCGAACCGACCUCCGUUGAAAAGGCGGCGGAUGAAUUGUGGGUAGCGGAGAAAUUCCAAUCGAACUCGGAGAUAGCUGGUUCUCCCCGAAAUAGCUUUAGGGCUAGCCUCAUAUUAGAUACCCGGAGGUAAAGCACUGAAUGGCCUAGCGCCCGAGAGGGUAGCGAAGCCUAUCAAACUAAGAAUGCCGGAGUAUUGAUGUAUGGGAGUCAGACAGUGUGAGAUAAAUCUCAUUGUCAAAAGGGAAACAGCCCAGAUCUACAGCUAAGGUCCCAAAUUGUAUCUAAGUGGAAAACGAUGUGGAAAUACGCAGACAACCAGGAUGUUGGCUCAGAAGCAGCCACUCAUUUAAAGAGUGCGUAAUAGCUCACUGGUCGAGCGUCUCUGCGCGGAAAAUUUAACGGGGCUAAGAUACAAACCGAAGCUUAGGCUGCACGUAAGUGCGGGGUAGGGGAGCGUUGUGUAAGCGGAGAAACAGUAGCGUAAGCGGCUGUGGAGUUUACAGAAGUGAGAAUGCCGGAAUGAGUAGCGCGAAUGUGGUGAGAAUCCACAUGGCCGGAAACCUCAGGUUUUUGGAGGAAGGUUCGUCCGCUCCAAGUUAGGCGGGAGCUAAGGUCAGGCCGAAAGGCGUAGCCGAUGCACAGACGGUAGAGAUUCCGUCCCCACCGAAAGAUUUAAGCACAGGGACACUUUUUGAAGGUCGGAGCCAGGUGUUGGUUCUGGUAGUGAUCGAGGGAAAUAUAGUACCGAAGUCCGGCUGGAGAAGAGGCGAGAAAAGCUGUGUGUAUAUCUAAGGUGCCCGUACCGCAAACCGACACAGGUAGGUAGGAAGAAGAUUCUAAGGCCAACGGGAGAAGGGUUGUUAAGGAACUCGGCAAAUUGACCCCGUAACUUCGGGAGAAGGGGUGCUCCAGAGAUGGAGCCGCAGAGAAUCGGCCCAAGCAACUGUUUACCAAAAACACAGGUUUGUGCUAAAUCGAAAGAUGACGUAUACGAGCUGACGCCUGCCCGGUGCUGGAAGGUUAAAAGGAGAUGUGCAAGCAUUGAAUUGAAGCCCCAGUGAACGGCGGCCGUAACUAUAACGGUCCUAAGGUAGCGAAAUUCCUUGUCAGGUAAG
This 1883-nucleotide ribosomal RNA is filed under the name human gut metagenome. RNAcentral's name for it is "bacterial LSU rRNA". It matches the Rfam family "Bacterial large subunit ribosomal RNA", at positions 3 to 1980 of the family's 2925-position model. The record is from RNAcentral.